CCUGGCGGCAGUAGCGCGGUGGUCCCACCUGACCCCAUGCCGAACUCAGAAGUGAAACGCCGUAGCGCCGAUGGUAGUGUGGGGCUCCCCAUGCGAGAGUAGGGAACUGCCAGGC
RNAcentral lists this ribosomal RNA (115 nucleotides) under Escherichia coli. Lineage: Bacteria; Pseudomonadati; Pseudomonadota; Gammaproteobacteria; Enterobacterales; Enterobacteriaceae. The record is from RNAcentral.